RNAcentral lists this long non-coding RNA (2394 nucleotides) under Prunus persica (peach). Its description in RNAcentral is "long non-coding RNA (PPER_LNC007372)". The record is from RNAcentral. Lineage: Eukaryota; Viridiplantae; Streptophyta; Magnoliopsida; Rosales; Rosaceae.
CGAGAGGUCUUAUUUUUGAAAAAUAAAUAUAAACUUAGGAUGUUUAGGUUAAUUAAUUUUUAAAAAUUUUAUUUUUAGUAACUACAUAAUGGGCAUUGGAGAUUUAAUUAGUUGAAUUAGAAAUUAUAUUUUAAUUAUUAUUUAUUUAAUGACUGAUUAUGAUUAAAUAUUUUAAUUAACAUCAUGAAUUAUAUUACUUAAUGAAUAGUAAUUCAAUUUCUCUUUUUUAAUAUUCACAAAGUUAAUUACUAAUCAAGGUAAUGAAAAAAGUGAAAUACAUACUAUGCUACUUAAAGGGUGUAGCCUACCUUUUCAUAAAAAAUUUAUUUUAUUUUUUCAGAAAAAAAAAAAUUAAAAAAUUAAAAAAUUAAAAACUGAGUAUAGCCGUGCGGCUAUACUAUUUUUAAUAUAAAAAGGAGGACAGGCGCCACGUGUCUACUUAAAAAGAAUAUAUAUAUUAAAAAAGCACAGAGUAUAGCCGUGCGGCUGUACCUUUUUAAAAAAAAAAAAAAAAGAGGAGGAGCCUGCAGCGAUUAGGCGCCACGUGUCCCAAAAAGGUAUAGCCGCCCGGCUAGACUAGUUUUUCAAAAAGAAAAAUAUAGUACAGCCGCACGGCUAUACUAUGUAAAUAUAGUAUUUAAUAAAUAAAUAAAAGAAAGCAUUAGCUUGUACUUUAUAGAUAUUAAUUUGCUAGUUUAAACAUAUCCAAAGUAGAUAUUAAUAGGCCACUAUACAAUAUUUUAAUAUAAUUUUUAUAACUUACAUUAUUCUUAUUCAAUAAUAUGUGAAAAUUAUUUGUAUAAUACGUGAACUUUGUGUGUCUUAAUGAAAAUUUUGUAAAAAGUAUGUGUAUUAAGCAUUACAAAUACGUACAAACAUGUACAAUACGACUAUUGUACGUUUGCUUUUUAAAAAAAGGAGAUGCGUAUAGAACACGAAUGUAUUAUUGGAAACUAUGUACGUACGUACGUACACACACACAUAUAUAUUACGACUAAUUAAAGUAAUUCAAAAAGGAUAAGAUAUUACUUAAUUACAUAUAUUAAAUGGAGGAAGUUGGCCAAAAGAAAAAGUAAAGAAACUAAUUUUAAAAUUUUAAAAUUUAUACUUUUCAAAAAAAAAAAAAAAAAAACACAUGAACACUUCUCCCGACGAAAUUUCGUCGGCAAAGAUCUAUGCCGACAAAAUUUGCCGGAUUAGGUUUCCCCCGACGAAAAUAUCUUUGCCGACGAAAUUUCGUCGCGAGAGGUCUUAUUUUUGAAAAAUAAAUAUAAACUUAGGAUGUUUAGGUUAAUUAAUUUUUAAAAAUUUUAUUUUUAGUAACUACAUAAUGGGCAUUGGAGAUUUAAUUAGUUGAAUUAGAAAUUAUAUUUUAAUUAUUAUUUAUUUAAUGACUGAUUAUGAUUAAAUAUUUUAAUUAACAUCAUGAAUUAUAUUACUUAAUGAAUAGUAAUUCAAUUUCUCUUUUUUAAUAUUCACAAAGUUAAUUACUAAUCAAGGUAAUGAAAAAAGUGAAAUACAUACUAUGCUACUUAAAGGGUGUAGCCUACCUUUUCAUAAAAAAUUUAUUUUAUUUUUUCAGAAAAAAAAAAAUUAAAAAAUUAAAAAAUUAAAAACUGAGUAUAGCCGUGCGGCUAUACUAUUUUUAAUAUAAAAAGGAGGACAGGCGCCACGUGUCUACUUAAAAAGAAUAUAUAUAUUAAAAAAGCACAGAGUAUAGCCGUGCGGCUGUACCUUUUUAAAAAAAAAAAAAAAAAGAGGAGGAGCCUGCAGCGAUUAGGCGCCACGUGUCCCAAAAAGGUAUAGCCGCCCGGCUAGACUAGUUUUUCAAAAAGAAAAAUAUAGUACAGCCGCACGGCUAUACUAUGUAAAUAUAGUAUUUAAUAAAUAAAUAAAAGAAAGCAUUAGCUUGUACUUUAUAGAUAUUAAUUUGCUAGUUUAAACAUAUCCAAAGUAGAUAUUAAUAGGCCACUAUACAAUAUUUUAAUAUAAUUUUUAUAACUUACAUUAUUCUUAUUCAAUAAUAUGUGAAAAUUAUUUGUAUAAUACGUGAACUUUGUGUGUCUUAAUGAAAAUUUUGUAAAAAGUAUGUGUAUUAAGCAUUACAAAUACGUACAAACAUGUACAAUACGACUAUUGUACGUUUGCUUUUUAAAAAAAGGAGAUGCGUAUAGAACACGAAUGUAUUAUUGGAAACUAUGUACGUACGUACGUACACACACACAUAUAUAUUACGACUAAUUAAAGUAAUUCAAAAAGGAUAAGAUAUUACUUAAUUACAUAUAUUAAAUGGAGGAAGUUGGCCAAAAGAAAAAGUAAAGAAACUAAUUUUAAAAUUUUAAAAUUUAUACUUUUCAAAAAAAAAAAAAAAAAAACACAUGAACACUUCUCCCG